GGGGCUGUAGCUCAGUGGUAGAGCACUUGCCUAGCAUACAGGAGGCAUUGAGUUGGAUCCUCAGCACCA
Molecule: transfer RNA, 69 nt
Filed under: Ictidomys tridecemlineatus (thirteen-lined ground squirrel)
Lineage: Eukaryota; Metazoa; Chordata; Mammalia; Rodentia; Sciuridae
Description: Spermophilus tridecemlineatus (thirteen-lined ground squirrel) tRNA
Rfam family: tRNA
About the family: Transfer RNA (tRNA) molecules are approximately 80 nucleotides in length.
Source: Rfam by way of RNAcentral